Molecule: RNA transcript, 1853 nt
Organism: Arachis duranensis
Lineage: Eukaryota; Viridiplantae; Streptophyta; Magnoliopsida; Fabales; Fabaceae
Exons: 9
Source: RefSeq, a predicted model, not a curated record
UAAAGAGUUAUCUAAACACAGAUUUUUCCUUCUUCCCCUCCUCUGCGGCACUGUUGAGUGUUGAGGUCCAACUUCCUCCACUUUCACUCUACCCUUUCUUUGACGCUGAGGCCACCUUCUUCUUCCAUUCUACCUUCUCUUCGACGCCGAUACCACUCUUUCUCUUCUCUGCGCCGACGUCCGACUGCGGAGUCCAUCGUCUUGUCUCCUAAACGCCGACUGAUACCACUCUUCUCUGCGACGGCGACGCCAGUCUCUUCUCAUCGAUCUCGCUGCCUCUCCUCCAUUUCGCCGCUGCUCCUCCAGUUCGCCUUCUCUUAGUCGGUCUCUCUUCCUGGUUGAUAGAGGCCUUCGGCUAAAAUUUUAUUCUUCAGCCAACAGAAAACAAUUCACAAGCUUCUCACACAACACAUGAAUAUCUUACAUCCUUUUGCAUGCCUUCCUCUAUGCAAUGCCAUUGCAAGCACCAACCCUUUUCCCCAUAACAAUCAAAUCAUGAAAUUUUCAUUGGUUUCUCUACAAAGCUCUAGCUAUCCAAGAACUUGGACUCCCUUAUGCUGUUCUAGAGGUGGGUUUACAAACUUGAAUGGUGAGGACUUCAAUAUAGAUCUUAUUAAGGAAGAUCUUGCUGAUGAUGAUGGUAGUAGUGAGACUUUGGCUCAAGAAACAUAUGGAAGAAGGAAAACAAACGACAUUGAUUUAGAGGGGUUAAAAGAAGAUAAUGAUGUUGGUGGGUAUUAUGGCCAAGGACCAUUUACAGGUAGGCCAGAGAAAGAUCACGAGAGAGAUCCAGAAGUUGCUGAUAUUCUUGGGAGUUUACUAGAUGAUCCCCAAAAGGCUCAAUCCAAAAUGGAAGACAGAAUUAGGAAAAAAAGGAACAAAAUACUGCACACAAAGACGGGAUCAGGAGUACCAAUGAAAGUGUCCGUUAACAAAUUUGAUUUUUCAAACUCAUAUAUAUGGCUUGAAUUUUACAAUACACCACUGGAAAAAGACAUCUCCUUAAUAUGUGAUACUAUUCGAUCGUGGCAUAUUGUUGGACGUCUUGGUGGAUGCAAUUCGAUGAACAUGCAACUAUCACAAUCUCCGAUCACGAAACGGCCAAGUUAUGAUUUUAUUCAAGGAGCUAAUGUGACACCAACUACAUUUUACAACAUUGGGGAUCUUGAGGUUCAAGACAACUUGGCUCGAAUAUGGGUAGAUAUUGGAACCAGUGAACCGCUGCUUUUGGAUGUCUUGAUAAAUGCAUUAACACAGAUAAGUUCUGAUUUUGUUGGAAUCAAGCAAGUGGUCUUUGGUGGGGAAGAAUAUGAGAAUUGGAACGAGAAUAUGACAUCAGAGGAUUCAGGUUUUAGUGUUCACAAGAUCUAAACCCAAUUUGCUGCCAUAUUAUUUGAUAGAGGCAAGUGAAGAGGAAGUCAGGAAAUAUUGCAUCGUAUGUAUUUGACAAGCAGAACUCAACCAUUCAUGAAUAUCAAAUUAUCAAUGUCAAAGACGUGUGAUGGCGGCUCUGGGAUUUUGAUGGCUCUGGAAAUUCAACCAUUAAUGAAUAUCGAAGUCAAGAGAUGACAGUCGAGAUAACAGUUCUGUAACUUAAUUAUGGGAUUUGUUGUUACUAAGGUUAAUUAAUCAAAAUGAACUUGAUUUUGAUUUGAUGUAGUAGCUCUUAAUGAAAUAUUGGAAAAGUUUGACAGCGUUAAAGGUUCCGUGGAGCAGAUAAUGACUAGAGAGUAAAGACCCUUUCGGUAAGAUUUCUGGGAAUGUUACUACCAGCAAUCCAGAAUCCUCCUUUUUUUUUUUCUUUGAAAAUUUAUCCCUUUGUUUGGUUGAUACAUGAUUAUUGGAACAAUUAA